AACAAUUUAUCGAUAACCUUUAAUAUUAUUUAUGAUUGUUUUUCUAUUGGAAUUUUUGGGGUGCCAUCUGAUAAUGGGACCCAUGUGUGUUGCAAAUAUAAAGGAUACGGAGAACACAUGUCAAUCAAAUAGGAAAGAAAUUUUGAAGCAAACUCCUGGACCGGGUCAUGUUCAUUUGAGCAGGCUUCGACAAGGAUAGUUUAAAUUGAAGUGUUUUGCCUCGUUUGGUCAUCUAUAUGCUCUAUUGUCCAUCUCAUCAUAUUACUUGUUAAGCAGUUGGAGUUGUG
RNAcentral lists this unclassified non-coding RNA (287 nucleotides) under Hevea brasiliensis (rubber tree). The record is from RNAcentral. Lineage: Eukaryota; Viridiplantae; Streptophyta; Magnoliopsida; Malpighiales; Euphorbiaceae.